GAGUAGCCGGAGCCCAGGCCGCCCGCGGGAAGACGCAGCUCGACGGCACCGGGUUCGGUACUGGGAGAGUGGCUAUCCCUGCUGUGUUCGCUGUAUUUGUGACGAAUCAUACAGGGACAUCCAGUUUUUCAGUAUCAAAUACUGCUCGGGAGCACUCCCUGGACCGUGUCCUGCCGUCAGGAAGGGGGGCUUGCUUCAGAACCCAGCCCCUGCCGAGGUACGUACGUGGAUGGCCGAUGGCAGGGCACCUGCCUCCUCCUCGGUGGGUGUCGCCCAUCGCCCAUGCGACCAGAAUCCGGUCCCUGGGGAAGGGCAGCCUAAGAAGGCAGUGGCUGUGCUCGAUGGACGGAGCCCUCACCGGCCGCCCUUCCUGCUGCAGCCCCAGGGCCAACUCCUUUUGAGAGCCAGCGCCUCCCCGGGAAGGCUGUCUGGGAGCGGGGCCGCUCUCUGCGAGCCACGGCUGUGCCGCUGGUGUGCGUGGGGACGUGGAGCCGAACCCAGGUCCUGAUGGGGCCCGCUGUGGUGACUGCGCUGGGGGAGGGAAGCCUGCUCUGACCACCGGGCUUGUCCGAUGGGGGUCUCAGCCUGCUCUGACCACCGGGCUUGUCCGAUGGGGGUCUCUCUCAUUCUGUAUCAUAUUCUCUCAAUGCUAGUGUCUCCCCACGGCCCGCAAGGGACGGUUCAGUGAGCCCACAGACCAGGAUGGACUGUUCUGGCUGAUGCUGGACCUCAGCCUGAGCUGUGGACAAGACACACACUCUGGGGGGCGAGGCGGACGGCGACACGUGUGUUAGGGGACAUCACGUCACCUACGGUUCGGUGUUAGAGCAAGAAGGAACAGGAUGGCAGAAAGAGGCAGGGAACAGCAUGAGGACACAGCGACUGCUGGUGACGGGCUGUGGCUCCACGUGUGUCACACAGGAGUGGAGUGUGGGAGUGGGAGACGGGGUCUCCUGCUGAGCUCUGGGCACCCGGAUGGGCUUCAGACCUGGUCCCAUGGCCCAAAGGUCUUCUGGGGCGGAUGGACAGUGGUUUUUGUUCAGCACCCUUCUUGGAAUUGCUUUCUUUGGCAGUUCUUGGGGGUGAGAUGGGUGGCGGAGCAGGGGGAGCCUCUCACAGACCCCCCAAGGGUGCCCCCUGAGCUGCCUGCCCGAUCUCUGCAGGAGGCCCUGCGGGGGCCCUGGGUGGCUCCCACGGGAGCACCCCUCACCCCAGUUCAUGGGCCCCACAGGCUGUGGCGCCAGUGGCUGACCGUUCUGUCGAGAGAUCCAGGCCCUGGGGCCACACCCCCACGGAGGACUCUGCACCUGCGACAGAAACCUCUACGCUCGGCGGCGUGGACUCGGCCUCACUGCAGGGGAGGUGGCGCGUGCAGGACGGCGGCUGGAGUACCAAAUGCUACCUCUAAGGACCCGCCGGACAACCAGGGCAACUCCAGGAAAGCCGGGCCUCUCUCAGCCGCGUGGAGCCGGGCACCGACGGCUGGCCGCGGACAGCGCUCGCUCGACCUCCCUGUAAGUCGCCCGAUCCGGUCCGUCUGCGGGAGGCCUUCCAUGGCCGUGCCACCGGCGUUGCCUCCGAAGACUGGGAAGAGCAGUGUCCUGGGCUCCGGGCCAGCUGUGGAAGAGAUGUUGGUGCCAGCACCAUCCAGGGUGUGUGACUGGUUGACCAGAGGGCGUGCGCUGUGUUCACCCUGUGGGCCACCUAGUCACCAACCCUCAGCAUCAACCCCACCCCAGGAAGACAUCGGAGACCUCGCCGCUGCUGGAGAAGUGGCCGUGGACAUAGUGGGACUGCGCGGUGGACCUGCACGAGCCGUGGCCGUGGGGGUGUGCGGUUACUUAGAUGCAAGGAGUCCUCCUUGGGAGCUCGCUCAGCCUCCACCAGCUGGUGACUUCCCAGGAGGGACGGAACGUGGGCCAGCCCCACUCCUGGGUGUGUGGCUGCAAAACACGUGCAUCAUGUUAUCACGCGUGUCUCCCAGCCCCCUAACCCCCAGCACCCCGUUUCUCCAUAGCAGGAGCCCCCCGGGGUGCUGGCCGUGA
This 2045-nucleotide long non-coding RNA is filed under the name Oryctolagus cuniculus (rabbit). The record is from RNAcentral. Lineage: Eukaryota; Metazoa; Chordata; Mammalia; Lagomorpha; Leporidae.